UGCUGGAUGCUAAUUUUCUUGUUUCACAUUUCAGAUACAAAGAUAUUCUAAAUUCAGCAAUGGAUUAAGGGUCUGAAACUUGAAUUUCAUUUCCAUAUGAUCAUGAGUACUGGAUGCACAACAGCUGCAGGAGUGAAUUUUUGAUUUGGCAUUUCUUUUCUUAUACCUUCCACCCAAUUUUUGAGACUUCUACAAACAUGUAAUUUGUGACAGAAUAAGACUGCUCACAUGUAUGAAUUUACAUAUGUUGCCUGUGUUUGAGAAACUGGGCUCUGGCUGGGAAACCUCCAAGAAAAGGAGCAGGUUCUACAGAAACGGUACUUGUCAUUCAGCAGAUGGCACUCUCCCCUCAAAGUGACUGAAAGCAGUGCUGCCUCUGAUACAUGGGAGAAUGUGCUUUUGGAGAAGACUUAUUUCACAUCAUCCCAAAGAACCUGGAUUUUUGUAACUACUAAAGAUCCCAGGGUAUUUUUCUCCAAAGGCGGAGAUAAGUGCCUGAUGCCUUGGAUGUGUUAUGGGGGCAACUGUACUCUCAAUACAGAAAUCUUUUUGAACUUCAAAUGACUUUUUGCUUCCUGAUCUUAAACUACUGUGUAGCCUUCCAGUUAUCUCCAUGAAGUGGCUGCCAGAAAAAUGUAUGUGUGUACAUGUGUAUAUUAUAUGAUCGCAUGUAGACGUGUAUGCAUACCACCCUUAUGCACACAGAAUUUAUAAAUCUGAGCAUUCUGAGGCUGGCAACAAGCAUGACUCAAUCAGUAAUAUUAUCUUAUGCAGUACAAUUAAGCUUCCACUGACAUCAACGAGAACUAGUUCAGAUAAGAGUGCAUUGUUAUUGUUACCAAUCAGACUAUUAGAAAUAUAUCUGUAUAAAUUAUUCCAAGUAGAACUAUUUUCACAGCUUUUUGUCAAGAUUUGCAUGACAUGUUCCAGGCUUGAGUUUGCUUUCACAUAAUCAACCAUGUAGAUUCACAUAUCCCAUGAAAUGAGCUAAUGCACUUGCACAUACACCAGUCAUAAUGCAUGCAAUUCUAUGGGUCCUGUCCUUUGUUGUUGUUUUUUUCCAGUUAAUCCCUUAAUCAUUUUCAUGUAAAUCACUGAUAACAUAUCACUAUAGUUUGAAGUAAGUUUAAAAUAUGGUAGUCAGUUGUAUUGCCUCAGAAUGUAAUAUUCAUUAAAAAAGGUAGCCACCUUGAAAGUUCCCCAGAUUUUCUCCCAUUGUUCUAUCAGAUAUAACUAAGUUUCCAGAACUGUUUCUUCACAGACUGUUUAGGACACCAGAGAAGCAAUCACACUUGGAUUAUUUAGUAAGUUGUCUUAAAAAAACCUGCUGAAAAUCUCUCUUCUAUAGUCUAAUCAUUAAUAAUCUAAAACGAAAUGGAAAAAUACAAGGAAUUAUAUCUCUCCCUUUGUA
Molecule: long non-coding RNA, 1411 nt
Organism: Dromaius novaehollandiae (emu)
Lineage: Eukaryota; Metazoa; Chordata; Aves; Casuariiformes; Dromaiidae
Exons: 2
Source: RefSeq, a predicted model, not a curated record